This 2358-nucleotide ribosomal RNA is filed under the name Triticum aestivum (bread wheat). RNAcentral describes it as "partial small subunit ribosomal RNA". The record is from RNAcentral. Lineage: Eukaryota; Viridiplantae; Streptophyta; Magnoliopsida; Poales; Poaceae.
AUGGGAAAUGAGCUUGAUGCUUUCUCGGCGGAGCUUCGACGCCGGCCUGAAGUAAGGAUCAUCAACAAGUAUGCCGUCGUCGCCGCGUACGUCACAAUUACUCUUAAAUCCGUCGGGGCCUUGCUGCUUUUGUGGGCCACCGUGGUCCUGCUGGGUGGCUUCGUCUCGUCGAUGACGAAGGACGAUUUUUGGUCUGUGACCAUCAUCACAUUUCCGCAGGCUGCCGGGGUAUUCGAAGAAAUCGGAUUUGCUGGCGCGGAUAUAUAUUGGGUUUGGGAUCUUCUUAUUGGAGCGGACAUUAAAUCUUGGGUACAAAAGUGUCAGUGUGAACUUAACCAGUUGCCUAUGAGACAAUGGUGGAAGAAACAAAUACAAAAAGUCGUGUUAGUUCUAAUAGUUAUCGCUCUGUCCGUGCAAGUGGCGCUCCUCGCUGUUACUGGACCAUUGGUUUGCAUGCUUGUGUCGAGUCGUGCAAUAAUGCAAGACCAUGGCAUCGCGGACGGGGAGGCAUUUAAAGCAAAUAUGAAGCGGACGCUGAACUUAUUCUACAUCGCAGCAUUUGCUCACGGCGGCAUAUGCGCAUUGUGGAUGCUGGCUCAAGGGGUGGAUGAUAAGUGGAUCGAGGUUAUUGUCAGCCGCCAACAUGGUUUCAGCUGGGAGGUACUCGGUGCAUAUUUGCGCAAAACGAAGCAGAUGUGUCUAAAUCACCCCGGGUCGGUGACAAGCUGGAAUUUGAUCACGUAUGGUGCCGACUUGCUGGAUUCCAGCUUACCAGAAGAAUAUGCGGCUGGAGGGAGGGUACUAACAAUGCUGAUUGAUAAGGAUGUAGCAUUACAGGUAAGACGGCUGCUGAUCAGGUCACCCAGACAAAGAAUAGAGAAGCUGAUCGGCACCCUUGCUUGGAGAAGCCCAGACGACCAAGAGAUGAGAUGGCUUGCAGCAAGGAUUGUGGAGCAUCUCGCUGCCGACCUCAACCUUGCUCACUUUCCGGGAGCAUUGGAAUGCAUAUCCUCCCUCCUCGAUCAAGAUACCCUCCUAUUGGCAUUUGUACAUCUGCAAGGAACAAUGGACCAGGUUUUGCCAGCCUUGAGAAUUCUAGAGAACCUAGCUCACAACAGGCAUAACUGCGCACUGAUAUACAACGCCAAUGAUCUUCUUUCAAAAAUAGUUGCGCCUGUCAGCUCUGACAAAUUAGUAGAAGAUAUCAGAAGCAGUGUCGCAUGGACCAAGGUAGUAGAUGGAUCACUGAAAGUGGUGAGCCGGCUGAUGGAUUCUUCAGGAAGCACCGGCCAAGACAUGUGCAAGCUAAUUGCAGAUGAUAAUGAUGCGGUCAAAAACUUGGAGGCCGUUCUAGACAUGGAUAUGAAGAGCAACAAUGGUAUGAUAGAGCUACAGAUGAGAGCUAUAGAGGUUCUUACACAAUUAGUCUUGCGUCAUCCAGCAUGUACUUCUGCAGAAGAACUUAUCAAGAGGGCACUGCACAUCUUCCUUACUGCAGAUUGGAUGCAAGAUUAUCUGAAAGAUGAGAAAAGGAAGAUCGAGCACCAGACUACAAGUCAUGUACAAAAGAAGAUGAAAGAAGCCAAGGAAACUGCAAGCCGGCUCAAAGAACAGGCUGGUGCAACAUUGGCCAUGCUAUCUAGUGAUUCAGAGGCUAUCAAGUGUUUCACAGGAUGUAAUGAUGAUGUCAAUAAUCUUACUGAGUUGCUUGACACCGAUAUCAAGACCAUCAACUGCAUAAUAAGUGCAACAGAUACUGUGGAAAUAGAGAUCAGCAUUGAAUGUCGUGUUAGCGCAGCACUCAUCUUGAAGAAUUUGAACAACUAUGUCAAGGAACCAACUUUACGGAAGGUACUCAGACAAUUGCUUCCUGUACAACAAGACGAGCAGAGCCACAACAAGCACAGGAGCCUGCAAGCAGCGCUGUUAUCACUCAUCACAGUGAUUCGUGCAAACACCAAUCUUAAUCUUGCACCAAUCUUAAUUUCGCAGAAGCCGGCGGAUACCCUGGAAGACUUGGUGGUGAGGCUCCAAAGGAUGUCGGAGAACUUGCAUGUCACCCCCGCGUGUCUCGCGAUACAGAAGCUUACUUGCGAGAUGGUUAUAGAAUUCAUGAAGCAUGAUCGAAAUGUCAGAGUGAUCGACCAGCACAAUAUCGUCGGCACAUUACUGAAGGCUUCAGAGAUGAUGGUGGGACUUGAGAACAGCAUGCUUUUCGCUGCAGUCGAUCCAGACUGCUAUGGGGUUCCUCUAAGGCCUUUCUCUUCUGUUCUCGCUAAAAAUGCCGAAGAUCUUUUGACACAGAGGAAACAGGCACUGGGCAUCAACAAUGUGCCUGUCGGUACACCAGUACCAUGA